AACAUGUCUUUUUGAGUUAUUUAAAAAGUCUAACCUGCCCACUGAAUUUUUAAAUGGCCGCAGUAUCCUAACUGUGCAAAGGUAGCAUAAUCAUUAGUCUUUUAAUUGGAGGCUGGAAUGAAUGGUUGGACGAGGUAUUAACUGUUUCAAAUAAAUUUUUUAUAGAAUUUUAUUUUUUAGUCAAAAAGCUAAAAUAGUAUUAAAAGACGAGAAGACCCUAUAAAUCUUUACUAAAAAUUUUGUUUUAAUUAUAUUGAUAAAUUUUAUUAUAAUAAAAUUUUUAGUUUUAUUGGGGUGAUAUUAAAAUUUAAUAAACUUUUAAUUUUUAUUAACAUAAAUUAAUGAAUAGUUGAUCCAUUAAUAAUGAUUAAAAAUUUAAGUUACUUUAGGGAUAACAGCGUAAUUUUUUUGGAGAGUUCUUAUCGAUAAAAAAGAUUGCGACCUCGAUGUUGGAUUAAGAAAAAUUUUAGGUGUAGCCGCUUAAAUAUUAAGUCUGUUCGACUUUUAA
RNAcentral lists this ribosomal RNA (508 nucleotides) under Archisepsis priapus. RNAcentral describes it as "partial 16S ribosomal RNA". It matches the Rfam family "Bacterial large subunit ribosomal RNA", at positions 1892 to 2591 of the family's 2925-position model. The record is from RNAcentral. Lineage: Eukaryota; Metazoa; Arthropoda; Insecta; Diptera; Sepsidae.